This 95-nucleotide ribosomal RNA is filed under the name uncultured bacterium. RNAcentral describes it as "partial 16S ribosomal RNA". It matches the Rfam family "Bacterial small subunit ribosomal RNA", at positions 261 to 353 of the family's 1533-position model. The record is from RNAcentral.
UGGCUCACCAAGGCGACGAUGCGUAGCCGACCUGAGAGGGUGAUCGGCCACAUUGGGACUGAGGCACGGCCCAGACUCCUACGGGAGGCAGCAUG